AGGCCUUGCGCUCUUUGAGCGGCCGAUAUCAGAUUAGCUAGUUGGUGAGGUAAAGGCUCACCAAGGCGACGAUCUGUAGCGGGUCUGAGAGGAUGAUCCGCCACACUGGAACUGAGACACGGUCCAGACUCCUACGGGAGGCAGCAGUGGGGAAUUUUGGACAAUGGGGGCAACCCUGAUCCAGCCAUGCCGCGUGAGUGAAGAAGGCCUUCGGGUUGUAAAGCUCUUUCGGCCGGGAAGAAAUCGCAUGGGCCAAUACCCUGUGCGGAUGACGGUACCGGCAUAAGAAGCACCGGCUAACUACGUGCCAGCAGCCGCGGUAAUACGUAGGGUGCGAGCGUUAAUCGGAAUUACUGGGCGUAAAGCGUGCGCAGGCGGUUUUGUAAGACAGGCGUGAAAUCCCCGGGCUCAACCUGGGAACUGCGUUUGUGACUGCAAGGCUAGAGUACGGCAGAGGGGGGUGGAAUUCCACGUGUAGCAGUGAAAUGCGUAGAGAUGUGGAGGAACACCAAUGGCGAAGGCAGCCCCCUGGGUCGAUACUGACGCUCAUGCACGAAAGCGUGGGUAGCAAACAGGAUUAGAUACCCUGGUAGUCCACGCCCUAAACGAUGUCAACUAGGUGUUGGGUGGGUAAAACCAUUUAGUACCGGAGCUAGCGCGUGAAGUUGACCGCCUGGGGAGUACGGCCGCAAGGUUAAAACUCAAAGGAAUUGACGGGGACCCGCACAAGCGGUGGAUGAUGUGGAUUAAUUCGAUGCAACGCGAAAAACCUUACCUACCCUUGACAUGUCCAGAAGCCUGAAGAGAUUUGGGUGUGCCCGAAAGGGAACUGGAACACAGGUGCUGCAUGGCUGUCGUCAGCUCGUGUCGUGAGAUGUUGGGUUAAGUCCCGCAACGAGCGCAACCCUUGUCGUUAAUUGCCAUCAUUCAGUUGGGCACUUUAACGAGACUGCCGGUGACAAACCGGAGGAAGGUGGGGAUGACGUCAAGUCCUCAUGGCCCUUAUGGGUAGGGCUUCACACGUCAUACAAUGGUCGGUACAAAGGGUUGCCAAGCCGCGAGGUGGAGCCAAUCCCAGAAAGCCGAUCGUAGUCCGGAUCGUAGGCUGCAACUCGCCUGCGUGAAGUCGGAAUCGCUAGUAAUCGUGGAUCAGCAUGUCACGGUGAAUACGUUCCCGGGUCUUGUACACACCGCCCGUCACACCAUGGGAGCGGGUUCCGCCAGAAGUAGGUAGCCUAACCGCAAGGGGGGCGCUUACCACGGCGGGGUUCGUGACUGGGGUGAAGUCGUAACAAGGUA
RNAcentral lists this ribosomal RNA (1299 nucleotides) under metagenome. RNAcentral describes it as "bacterial SSU rRNA". It matches the Rfam family "Bacterial small subunit ribosomal RNA", at positions 208 to 1498 of the family's 1533-position model. The record is from RNAcentral.